RNAcentral lists this ribosomal RNA (505 nucleotides) under uncultured archaeon. Its description in RNAcentral is "bacterial SSU rRNA". It matches the Rfam family "Archaeal small subunit ribosomal RNA", at positions 1 to 506 of the family's 1478-position model. The record is from RNAcentral.
UUCCGGGUGAUCCAGCCGGAGGNNACCGCUUUUGGUGUUCGACUAAGCCAUGCAAGUCAUAUGUUCCUCGUGAACAUGGCAUACUGCUCAGUAACACGUGGAUAUCCUGCCCUUGGGUCUGGGAUAACCCCGGGAAACUGGGGAUAAUACCGGAUGACGCAUAUGUGCUGGAAUGCUUUAUGCGUAAAACGGAUUCGUCCGCCCAAGGAUGGGUCUGCGGCCUAUCAGGUAGUAGUGGGUGUAAUGUACCUACUAGCCAACAACGGGUACGGGUUGUGAGAGCAAGAGCCCGGAGAUGGAUUCUGAGACAUGAAUCCAGGCCCUACGGGGCGCAGCAGGCGCGAAAACUUUACAAUGCGGGAAACCGUGAUAAGGGAACACCGAGUGCCAGCAUCAUAUGCUGGCUGUCCAGAUGUGUAAACUACAUCUGUUAGCAAGGGCCGGGCAAGACCGGUGCCAGCCGCCGCGGUAACACCGGCGGCCCGAGUGGUGACCGUUAUUAUUG